Molecule: ribosomal RNA, 229 nt
Filed under: uncultured bacterium
Lineage: Bacteria
Description: partial 16S ribosomal RNA
Rfam family: Bacterial small subunit ribosomal RNA
Source: RNAcentral
UGCGCGGGCGGAACGAUUAGUCAGUGGUGAAAUCCUACGGCUCAACUGUAGAAUUGCCAUUGAAACUGUCGCUCUUGAGUAUAGUUGAAGUGGGCGGAAUGUGUCAUGUAGCGGUGAAAUGCAUAGAGAUGACACAGAACACCAAUCGCGAAGGCAGCUCACUAAACUAUAACUGACGCUCAGGCACGAAAGCGUGGGUCGCGAACAGGAUUAGAUACCCUGGUAGUCC